ACGUGCUUGCACUGAAUGAGAUUUUAACACGAAGUGAGUGGCGGACGGGUGAGUAACACGUGGGUAACCUGCCCAGAAGCAGGGGAUAACACCUGGAAACAGAUGCUAAUACCGUAUAACAGAGAAAACCGCCUGGUUUUCUUUUAAAAGAUGGCUCUGCUAUCACUUCUGGAUGGACCCGCGGCGCAUUAGCUAGUUGGUGAGGUAACGGCUCACCAAGGCGAUGAUGCGUAGCCGACCUGAGAGGGUAAUCGGCCACAUUGGGACUGAGACACGGCCCAGACUCCUACGGGAGGCAGCAGUAGGGAAUCUUCCACAAUGGACGCAAGUCUGAUGGAGCAACGCCGCGUGAGUGAAGAAGGGUUUCGGCUCGUAAAGCUCUGUUGUUAAAGAAGAACGUGGGUGAGAGUAACUGUUCACCCAGUGACGGUAUUUAACCAGAAAGCCACGGCUAACUACGUGCCAGCAGCCGCGGUAAUACGUAGGUGGCAAGCGUUAUCCGGAUUUAUUGGGCGUAAAGCGAGCGCAGGCGGUCUUUUAAGUCUAAUGUGAAAGCCUUCGGCUCAACCGAAGAAGUGCAUUGGAAACUGGGAGACUUGAGUGCAGAAGAGGACAGUGGAACUCCAUGUGUAGCGGUGAAAUGCGUAGAUAUAUGGAAGAACACCAGUGGCGAAGGCGGCUGUCUGGUCUGUAACUGACGCUGAGGCUCGAAAGCAUGGGUAGCGAACAGGAUUAGAUACCCUGGUAGUCCAUGCCGUAAACGAUGAUUACUAAGUGUUGGAGGGUUUCCGCCCUUCAGUGCUGCAGCUAACGCAUUAAGUAAUCCGCCUGGGGAGUACGACCGCAAGGUUGAAACUCAAAAGAAUUGACGGGGGCCCGCACAAGCGGUGGAGCAUGUGGUUUAAUUCGAAGCUACGCGAAGAACCUUACCAGGUCUUGACAUCUUCUGCCAACCUAAGAGAUUAGGCGUUCCCUUCGGGGACAGAAUGACAGGUGGUGCAUGGUUGUCGUCAGCUCGUGUCGUGAGAUGUUGGGUUAAGUCCCGCAACGAGCGCAACCCUUAUUACUAGUUGCCAGCAUUCAGUUGGGCACUCUAGUGAGACUGCCGGUGACAAACCGGAGGAAGGUGGGGACGACGUCAAAUCAUCAUGCCCCUUAUGACCUGGGCUACACACGUGCUACAAUGGAUGGUACAACGAGUUGCGAAACCGCGAGGUUUAGCUAAUCUCUUAAAACCAUUCUCAGUUCGGACUGUAGGCUGCAACUCGCCUACACGAAGUCGGAAUCGCUAGUAAUCGCGGAUCAGCAUGCCGCGGUGAAUACGUUCCCGGGCCUUGUACACACCGCCCGUCACACCAUGAGAGU
RNAcentral lists this ribosomal RNA (1365 nucleotides) under Pediococcus sp. RNAcentral's name for it is "bacterial SSU rRNA". It matches the Rfam family "Bacterial small subunit ribosomal RNA", at positions 53 to 1411 of the family's 1533-position model. The record is from RNAcentral. Lineage: Bacteria; Bacillati; Bacillota; Bacilli; Lactobacillales; Lactobacillaceae.